ACACCGGCAGCUCAAGUGGUAGCCGCUUUUAUUGGGCCUAAAGCGUCCGUAGCCGGUCUGAUAAGUCUCUGGUGAAAUCCCACAGCUUAACUGUGGGAAUUGCUGGAGAUACUAUCAUGACUCGAGGUCGGGAGAGGCUGGAGGUACUCCCAGGGUAGGGGUGAAAUCCUGUAAUCCUGGGAGGACCACCUGUGGCGAAGGCGUCCAGCUGGAACGAACCUGACGGUGAGGGACGAAAGCCAGGGGCGCGAACCGGAUUAGAUACCCGGGUAGUCCUGGCCAUAAACGAUGUGGACUUGGUGUUGGGAUGGCUUCGAGCUGCCCCAGUGCCGAAGGGAAGCUGUUAAGUCCACCGCCUGGGAAGUACGGCCGCAAGGCUGAAACUUAAAGGAAUUGACGGGG
Molecule: ribosomal RNA, 402 nt
Filed under: uncultured bacterium
Lineage: Bacteria
Description: partial 16S ribosomal RNA
Rfam family: Archaeal small subunit ribosomal RNA
Source: RNAcentral